This 358-nucleotide unclassified non-coding RNA is filed under the name soil metagenome. Its description in RNAcentral is "partial contains 5.8S ribosomal RNA, internal transcribed spacer 2, and large subunit ribosomal RNA". The stretch from base 1 to 120 matches the Rfam family "5.8S ribosomal RNA", at positions 35 to 154 of the family's 154-position model. The record is from RNAcentral.
GAUGAAGAACGUAGCGAAAUGCGAUAAAUAAUGUGAAUUGCAGAAUUCAGUGAAUCAUCGAAUCUUUGAACGCACAUUGCGCCCGUCAGUAUUCUGGCGGGCAUGCCUGUUCGAGCGUCAUUACGCCCCUCAAGUCCCCUGUGGACUUGGUGUUGGGGAUCGGCGAGGCUGGUUUUCCAGCACAGCCGUCCCUUAAAUUAAUUGGCGGUCUCGCCGUGGCCCUCCUCUGCGCAGUAGUAAAACACUCGCAACAGGAGCCCGGCGCGGUCCACUGCCGUAAAACCCCCCAACUUUUUAUAGUUGACCUCGAAUCAGGUAGGACUACCCGCUGAACUUAAGCAUAUCAAUAAGCGGAGGA